AACGAACGCUGGCGGCAGGCCUAACACAUGCAAGUCGAACGCUCCAGCAAUGGAGAGUGGCAGACGGGUGAGUAACGCGUGGGAACCUUCCCUAUGGUUCGGAAUAGCUCAGGGAAACUUGAGGUAAUACCGGAUAAGCCCUUCGGGGGUAAAGGAUUUAUCGCCAUUGGAUGGCCCGCGUAGGAUUAGCUAGUUGGUGAGGUAACGGCUCACCAAGGCGACGAUCCUUAGCUGGCUGAGAGGAUGAUCAGCCACACUGGGACUGAGACACGGCCCAGACUCCUACGGGAGGCAGCAGUGGGGAAUAUUGGACAAUGGGCGCAAGCCUGAUCCAGCCAUGCCGCGUGAGUG
Molecule: ribosomal RNA, 351 nt
Filed under: uncultured bacterium
Lineage: Bacteria
Description: bacterial SSU rRNA
Rfam family: Bacterial small subunit ribosomal RNA
Source: RNAcentral